This 501-nucleotide ribosomal RNA is filed under the name uncultured bacterium. RNAcentral describes it as "bacterial SSU rRNA". It matches the Rfam family "Bacterial small subunit ribosomal RNA", at positions 62 to 543 of the family's 1533-position model. The record is from RNAcentral.
UCGAACGAGAUUGCUCUUGUAGCAAUACAAGAGCGGUCUAGUGGCGCAAGGGUGCGUAACACGUGGGGAAUCUACCGAGAAGUGGGGGAUAGCUCGCCGAAAGGCGAAUUAAUACCGCAUGUGGUUAAGGAAGACAUCUUCCUAACACCAAAGCCGGGGCAACCUGGCGCUUUUUGAUGACCCCGCGGCCUAUCAGCUAGUUGGUGAGGUAACGGCUCACCAAGGCUAUGACGGGUAGCUGGUCUGAGAGGACGACCAGCCACACUGGAACUGAGACACGGUCCAGACACCUACGGGUGGCAGCAGUCGAGAAUUUUUCUCAAUGGGGGAAACCCUGAAGGAGCGACGCCGCGUGGAGGAUGAAGGUCUUCGGAUUGUAAACUCCUGUCAUUAGGGAACAAUGUGCAGCCGUUAACUGCGGUUGCAUUGAUAGUACCUGAAGAGGAAGAGACGGCUGACUCUGUGCCAGCAGCCGCGGUAAUACAGAGGUCUCAAGCGUUG